RNAcentral lists this ribosomal RNA (543 nucleotides) under uncultured archaeon. RNAcentral describes it as "bacterial SSU rRNA". It matches the Rfam family "Archaeal small subunit ribosomal RNA", at positions 457 to 997 of the family's 1478-position model. The record is from RNAcentral.
GGCAGCAGCCGCGGUAACACCGGCGGCCCGAGUGGUGAUCGUGAUUAUUGGGUCUAAAGGGUCCGUAGCCGGUUUGGUCAGUCCUCCGGGAAAUCUGAUAGCUCAACUAUUAGGCUUUCGGGGGAUACUGCCAGACUUGGAACCGGGAGAGGUAAGAGGUACUACAGGGGUAGGAGUGAAAUCUUGUAAUCCCUGUGGGACCACCUGUGGCGAAGGCGUCUUACCAGAACGGGUUCGACGGUGAGGGACGAAAGCUGGGGGGCACGAACCGGAUUAGAUACCCGGGUAGUCCCAGCCGUAAACGAUGCUCGCUAGGUGUCAGGCAUGGCGCGACCGUGUCUGGUGCCGCAGGGAAGCCGUGAAGCGAGCCACCUGGGAAGUACGGCCGCAAGGCUGAAACUUAAAGGAAUUGGCGGGGGAGCACAACAACGGGUGGAGCCCUGCGGUUUAAUUGGACUCAACGCCGGACAACUCACCGGGGGCGACAGCAAUAUGUAGGCCAAGCUGAAGACUUUGCCUGAAUCGCUGAGAAGUGGUGCAUGG